GGGAGCCCUAGCACAGGUGCUGCAUGGCCGUCGUCAGCUCGUGCCGUGAGGUGUUGGGUUAGGUCCCGCAACGAGCGCAACCCCUACGUUUAGUUGCUAACGCGUGAAGGCGAGCACUCUAGACGAACUGCCGUUGACAAAACGGAGGAAGUGGGGAUGACGUCAAAUCAUCAUGCCCCUUAUGUUCUGGGCUACACACGUGCUACAAUGGCCGGUACAGACGGACGCAAAGCCGCGAGGUGGAGCAAAUCCUAAAAAAGCCGGUCUCAGUUCGGAUUGCAGGCUGCAAUUCGCCUGCAUGAAGUCGGAAUCGCUAGUAAUCGCAGGUCAGCAUACUGCGGUGAAUACGUUCCCGGGCCUU
Molecule: ribosomal RNA, 361 nt
Filed under: uncultured Pelotomaculum sp.
Lineage: Bacteria; Bacillati; Bacillota; Clostridia; Eubacteriales; Desulfotomaculaceae
Description: bacterial SSU rRNA
Rfam family: Bacterial small subunit ribosomal RNA
Source: RNAcentral